UCCAGGGUCUGUCACUUUGGAGAAUGAGCCC
Molecule: non-coding RNA, 31 nt
Filed under: Homo sapiens (human)
Lineage: Eukaryota; Metazoa; Chordata; Mammalia; Primates; Hominidae
Source: RNAcentral